RNAcentral lists this unclassified non-coding RNA (240 nucleotides) under plant metagenome. Its description in RNAcentral is "partial contains small subunit ribosomal RNA, internal transcribed spacer 1, and 5.8S ribosomal RNA". The record is from RNAcentral.
UUUCCGUAGGUGAACCUGCGGAAGGAUCAUUACCGAUUGAGGGCCUCUCAGGCCCCACUUCCCACCCUGUGUUGUCGGGACGUUGUUGCUCUGGCGGGGCCGGCUCGAUGAGGGGCCGCCGGACUCUCACCGCUUUGGGCCCGUUCCCGUCAGUCGCCUCCUUAAAUUCUUACUAUACCUUACGUAUGAGUUAAUGGAUAUAAUGAAAAAAAACUUUCAACAACGGAUCUCUUGGUUCUG